RNAcentral lists this ribosomal RNA (468 nucleotides) under uncultured bacterium. Its description in RNAcentral is "partial 16S ribosomal RNA". It matches the Rfam family "Bacterial small subunit ribosomal RNA", at positions 28 to 507 of the family's 1533-position model. The record is from RNAcentral.
GACGAACGCUGGCGGCGUGCUUAACACAUGCAAGUCGAACGGAAAGGCCCUGCUUUUGUUGGUUGCUCGAGUGGCGAACGGGUGAGUAACACGUGAGUAACCUGCCCUUGACUUUGGGAUAACUUCUGGAAACUGGGGCUCAUACCCGAUAUGAUCUCCUGCUGCAUGUUGGGGGUUGGUAAGUUUCGGCGGUUGGGUAUGGACUCGCGGCUUAUCCGCUUGUUGGUGGGGUAGUGGCUUACCAAGGCUUUGACGGGUAGCCGGCCUGAGAGGGUUACCGGCCACAUGGGGACUGAGAGACGGACCAGACUCCUACGGGAGGCAGCAGUGGGGAAUAUUGCAGAAUGGGCGGAAGCCUGAGGCAGCAACGCCGCGUGCGGGAUGACGGCCUUCGAGGUGUAAACCAAUUUGGCCUGUGACGAAGAGGGAGUGACGGUAAUGGGUAAAGAAGCAACGGCUAACUACGUG